Molecule: ribosomal RNA, 253 nt
Filed under: uncultured bacterium
Lineage: Bacteria
Description: partial 16S ribosomal RNA
Rfam family: Bacterial small subunit ribosomal RNA
Source: RNAcentral
UACGUAGGGUGCAAGCGUUAAUCGGAAUUACUGGGCGUAAAGCGCGCGCAGGCGGCAUGGCAAGUAAGGUGUGAAAUCCAUCUGCUCAACGGGUGGGGUGCACUUUAGACUGCCAAGCUAGAGGUCGGUAGAGGGGGGUGGAAUUGCUGGUGUAGCGGUGAAAUGCGUAGAUAUGCGGAGGAACACCGAUGGCGAAGGCAAUCCCCUGGGCCUGCACUGACGCUCAUGCACGAAAGCGUGGGGAGCAAACAGG